RNAcentral lists this long non-coding RNA (3276 nucleotides) under Canis lupus familiaris (dog). Its description in RNAcentral is "lncRNA (ENSCAFG00845027054.1)". Lineage: Eukaryota; Metazoa; Chordata; Mammalia; Carnivora; Canidae. The record is from RNAcentral.
CUCCCCCACGGCCCAGAAGGACCUGCCUGAGCCCCAGUGGGUUCUGAGCCCAGGGUGGCAGCCCGCUGUCUCCUCCUCCUUGCCCUGCCGGCCUGUUCCUACAGAAUGCUCCAGACUUCUCCUGGUCCAUUUCCCUGGGCUCUGUGAGGCCUGGCCAGCAGAGGGCACGGUCCUCUAUAUUCUGGAGACCGGAGGCUGAAGAGAGCAGCUUUGGGGACCUUUGCGGCUCUAACUCAGCCUCUCCAAACUGCAGGGAGCCACCGAGGAGCUGGGUGAGAGCUCGGGAGAUGAGGGUAUCCCGAGAUCCCGAGGGAAUUUCACAGAGCUGGCCCCUCCUCUGAUACGGGUCCUGCAGCAUGCCCCCCCCCCCCCCCCCCAGGCUGGGCACACAGAUGCUCCUCUGUCAUCAGUCCUGGCCUGGCCCGGUUCUUCUGUCCCAGGAACAGACCAGAGUCCUAGGACAGCCCCCCGCCCCCGGCCCGCGGGAGGGCAGCGGGAGAACUCAGGGCCAGGCCUGCGGGACUGUUUGCCUUCGCGGGCAGGGUGACGGGCAGCAGGUCGGGCAGUUUCAUGUUUCUGUUGACGGAUGCUGCUGAGCACCUCAUGACGUGCCAGCCACGGUGGCGAGCACGGGGUGAGCCCAAACACCACGACGGCCCGUGCCACAUGAGCUGUGCUGUCAGCUGGGAAGACACGUUCGACGCGGACUUUCAUGACGUGUCCAAAUUACAAAUGCGGGGCUUUCUACCCAGAUAUAGACAUGAAUUUGGGAGAAAAUCAGGUAUGAAGUCAACAAGCAGAGUUUGCAGCAGGGCAGGACUCUAAGUAUGAUCAACUUCACCGAAUCUCCUGAUACAAAGAAUCGUGCUGUGUACAGACGAAAGCUUACUUUUCAUGACAUGAAGGAUCCUGUGAUUUGAGGAAGGUACUUUCUUUUUUUUUUUUUUUUUUUUUUGUAUUUUUUUUUAUUGGAGUUCGAUUUGCCAGCAUGUAACACCCAGUGCUCAUCCCGUCAAGUGCCCGCCUCAGUGCCCGUCACCCAGUCACUCUGUUCCCCCGCCCUCCUCCCCUUCCACCACCCCUUGUUUGUUUCCCAGAGUUAAGAGUCUCUCAUGGUCUGUCCCCCUCUCUGAAAUAUCAGAGAAGAAGUUACUUUCAACUGCCUCCCAUUUUCCAGCAAUCCCAAGGGAAGCACGAGUGCUCCGAGGUCCCGCAGCUGGUGAGGGCAGGACCUGGUUAAAGCCCUGGGUUUCUUGCCUCCACAGUGUCUUCCUUUUCUGAUUCACAAUCCUAGUAUCAGCCCGGAUCAGAAUCAGCAUAAGUGAACAUACGCUCUGGCACGAAGAGAAAAAUCUCAUGAGCUGGCAUGAUGGGAAAAUGAGACAGUUACCGCUUUGCCAUUGUUUGCUGAUGGAUAAAAUAACACACCCCAUUCCUGGCUUUAUCCCCACCCUAUUAUAAGGAUUCCUGACAGCAUGGGAUGUCCAAACCGGCCUUCAAUUUCCCCUGCUUGCCCCCCUGACCCUUAUCUGGCCCUCAGUAUCCCAGACUUCCCCCCCGUAAGGGAAGUCCACUCCUGAGCUUGUGGAGUUACCCACACCCCACUGGUGGUGGAUAUGCCAUGGGAAUUGCAAAAAUGUCAUAUAGAUGUAAGAAGUGGGCAUGGUGGGGGUCAGCAAACUAUGGCCUAUGGAGCAAAUCCUGCCUGCUGCCUGUUUUCGUAAAUAAAGCUUUAUUGGAACACAGCCAUGCCCAUCUGCUUGCAUAUUGUAAAGUGCUUUUGAGCUACAAAGACAGAACUAAGCAGUUGUGACAGAGUCCGUGUGGCCUGCAAAGCUAAACAUAUUCAUUACCUGGUUCUUUAUAAGAAACAUUGAUGGCCUUGGCCAGUAUAGAGAUAGCUAAGUUAUUUGUCUCGGUGUUGUGCUAACACUUUAACAGAACCUUGUGGAGAUAAUGGCUGCAGAGGUGUGGCUGCUGUGCUGACAGUUGGAGGCCUCCUCGUGGGUUAAUGGAGGUCACGUUGCUUACUGGUCCUUUGGUGGCCCUCACAGACAUGUUCGAUGGCUUCCUGUACUUCCCAUACAUUGAGCUUGCCCCCUUCCUUUCUAGGGCCUGUAGCUCGGUCCUACCAUGAAGCUGUGGGGCACCAGGGGACCAACUCUGGCCUCAGUUCUGAGACAGUAGUGGCUGCUGGCAGGACUUGGUGAAUGGGUUUGGCUUGUCUGGAGCUAACAGGUGAUGGAGCAAAUUCCACCUAGAUUUUAUGCGUGUGUGAAUAAACUUGUGCCCAAGACCCUCUCCUUUUAAAAAAAAAAAAAAAACUUUUAAUUUGGAGAUCCUUGUACAUUGACAUACAGCUUGUAAGAAAUAGCACAGAGGGAUCCCACGUUCCCUUUACUAAGUCUUCCCACUGGUAACAUCUCGUAGAACCAUAACACAAUAUCACAACUGGGAUACUGACAGUGAUGCAGUCAAGAUAGAGCAUUUCCAUCAUCCUUGAUCCAGGGACGCCUCCUGUCCUUUUACAACCAUAUCCACUUGCCUCCCACCCCCACUGCCACCAUGGCAACCAAAAGUUUUGUCUUUCCUUGCUGAAAUUUAAUCAUUUCAAAAUUAGUAUAUACACGGAACUAUACAGCAUGUGACCCUGGAGACUGGCUUUUGUCCUUCGGCAUUAUUCUCUGGAAUUGACAAGUGUGCCAAUAGUUCUUACCUUGUUAUUACUGAGUUGUAUUCAUGUAUUGAUGGACAGCAGUUUAUCUAACCAUGCACCAGUCGAAGAACAUUUGGGUUCUUACUCGUUUUGGACUAUUAUGAAUAAAUCUGCUAUCGACAUCUAUGUACAGGUUAUUGUGUGAACAUGGAAUUCAUACAGCAGUCUCAGAGGGGCUGGACUCAGACAGGUAGGAUUCAGGCGGAUGCCCUUUCCUGAUAGUCUCCAAACACAUGUGGCUUGUUAGGUCGAAAUGAAUAAUCACCCAUCCCUGAGGGAUGUUUACCUGGGUGCCGCCCUUCUGUCAGCCUCAGGUCUGUGUUAGAAUUCUGCCUUCUCCAUAACUCCUGGCCCAUCAACACUCCUGAUGCCAUCAUCAGGCUUGGUCCCACCAUUUCUCCUGGUCCCAACACUGUUCCUGACCCCACCAGCACUCCAGUCCUCUGAGCACUGGAACCAGGUCACAUUCUUACUCCCGGUUCCAUUGUCCCUCCUGAUCCUACCAUUAUUCCUACUCCCAUCAUCACUCCUGGUUCCUCUGCCACCCUUGGUCUCAUCAU